AAGAAUUUAAGUUAAAAAAACUUUAAGCCUUCAAAGCCUACUAUAGAAUAAAUUUUCUAAUUCUUA
RNAcentral lists this transfer RNA (66 nucleotides) under Curculionoidea sp. 12 KM-2017. RNAcentral's name for it is "tRNA-Trp". Lineage: Eukaryota; Metazoa; Arthropoda; Insecta; Coleoptera. The record is from RNAcentral.